This 492-nucleotide ribosomal RNA is filed under the name uncultured bacterium. RNAcentral describes it as "partial 16S ribosomal RNA". It matches the Rfam family "Bacterial small subunit ribosomal RNA", at positions 29 to 507 of the family's 1533-position model. The record is from RNAcentral.
AGUGAACGCUGGCGGUAGGCCUAACACAUGCAAGUCGAACGGCAGCACAGUAAGAGCUUGCUCUUACGGGUUGCGAGUGGCGGACGGGUGAGGAAUACAUCGGAAUCUACUUUUUCGUGGGGGAUAACGUAGGGAAACUUACGCUAAUACCGCAUACGACCUACGGGUGAAAGCAGGGGAUCUUCGGACCUUGCGCGAUUGAAUGAGCCGAUGUCGGAUUAGCUAGUUGGCGGGGUAAAGGCCCACCAAGGCGACGAUCCGUAGCUGGUCUGAGAGGAUGAUCAGCCACACUGGAACUGAGACACGGUCCAGACUCCUACGGGAGGCAGCAGUGGGGAAUAUUGGACAAUGGGCGCAAGCCUGAUCCAGCCAUACCGCGUGGGUGAAGAAGGCCUUCGGGUUGUAAAGCCCUUUUGUUGGGGAAGAAAAGCAGCAGGUGAAUACCCCGCUGUUCUGACGGUACCCAAAGAAUAAGCACCGGCUAACUUCGUG